GAUGAACGCUAGCGGCAGGCCUAAUACAUGCAAGUCGAACGAUAGUAUUAAGCUUGCUUAAUAUGAAAGUGGCGCACGGGUGCGUAACGCGUAUGAAACCUACCUUAAUCAGGGGGAUAGCCUUUCGAAAGAAAGAUUAAUACCGCAUAAUAUCACGAUGGGGCAUCCUGUUGUGAUCAAAUAUUUAUAGGAUUAAGAUGGUCAUGCGUGACAUUGGCUAGUUGGAGAGGUAAUGGCUCACCAAGGCGACGAUGUCUAGGGGAUCUGAGAGGAUGGCCCCCCACACUGGUACUGAGACACGGACCAGACUCCUACGGGAGGCAGCAGUAAGGAAUAUUGGUCAAUGGGCGGAAGCCUGAACCAGCCAUGCCGCGUGCAGGAAGACGGCCCUACGGGUUGUAAACUGCUUUUAUCGGGAAUAAAUCUUUCUACGUGUAGGGAGUUGAAUGUACUGAAAGAAUAAGGAUCGGCUAACUCCGUGCCAGCAG
RNAcentral lists this ribosomal RNA (488 nucleotides) under uncultured bacterium. Its description in RNAcentral is "bacterial SSU rRNA". It matches the Rfam family "Bacterial small subunit ribosomal RNA", at positions 28 to 514 of the family's 1533-position model. The record is from RNAcentral.